Non-coding RNA from Nicotiana tabacum (common tobacco), 503 nucleotides. The record is from RefSeq and is a predicted model, not a curated record. Lineage: Eukaryota; Viridiplantae; Streptophyta; Magnoliopsida; Solanales; Solanaceae.
UUUAUAGCUCUAACUUCAAUGUAUUCUUUAUACUUAUUAACUCUUGAACAUUUUUUUAACUUCUAUAGUUAAAUGGUGGGACCAAUAUGGUGUAGAGACUCCGGAGCUACAGGCUUUCGCCAUCAAAGUUCUAAGUUUAACUUGUAGCUCAUCUGGAUGUGAAAGGAACUGGAGUGUUUUUGAACACAUUCAUACAAAGAAAAGGAAUCGACUAACCUUGAAGCGCCUCCAUAAUCUAGUGUUCAUAAAAUACAAUAGAGCAUUGAGACGACGCUACAACCACCGCAAUAUAAUUGAUCCAAUUCUUUUGGACAAUAUUGAUGAGGCUAAUGAGUGGCUAACCGGAGUCCCCGAAAAUUGUGAAGGUGAAGAAGUAUUUGAAGGCGACUCCGAUUUCACUUGGGGUGAUGUUGCGGUUGGUAGUGGAGUUGGGGAAGAUCCUUAUGGUUUAAGGAGAUAUACUCCAAGUUCAAGCUCUAUUAGGAAGGGAAAAAGUGUGGCUA